This 342-nucleotide ribosomal RNA is filed under the name Triticum aestivum (bread wheat). RNAcentral's name for it is "partial small subunit ribosomal RNA". Lineage: Eukaryota; Viridiplantae; Streptophyta; Magnoliopsida; Poales; Poaceae. The record is from RNAcentral.
AUGAUCGCGCCACUCCUAAGAAAAAACACAGUGCGUCUAGAUAUCAAUGCUGCUCUGAAACCGAUUGUAACACCGCUGUGCAAGAUUACCGCUCUCAAACACAAUGUGGCAUCGAACAGUUCAAUAUGUUCUUUACAGGAUCAAAACAAGUUUGUAACAGAGCGCUCUAAAAUGUUGGUGAGGUUUUGCUUGCCCACACUUUUGGGUUUAGUCACAACAAAACUGUCACAUGUUUUUGGUCAGGAGGAGCAAUUGCACCAGCAAAGCAAACACAACACCAGUUCAGAGAACAAGAUGCCUCAGAAAAAACAACGACAUAUGAACAGCACCAGCACAGGGUAA